GAGACAAUGGAUCUUAAACAUGGCAGUCUUUUCCUAAAACUGCCAGAUAGUGCUUCCAGCAAAGAUUAUCUCAUCUCUGCAAACUCCAACCUAGUGAUUAUCACAUCAGGUGCAUGCCAGGAAAAAGGUGAAACACUUUAAUUUAGUCAGUCUAAAUGUGGCCAUCGUUAAAUUAAUGAUGUCUAAUAUUACUCAAUAUAGUCCUGCUGCAAAUUGAUAGUUUCCAGUCCAGUGGAUAUCUUAAUUUAUGUAGCUUAGAAAUUGAGUACAUUUUUCAAAACCCAUAUUAUUGGAAAUGGCUGUAAUCUGGACACUGCCCAUUUCCAUUUCUUGACUGUGCAAGUGCUUGGAAUCCACUCUGGAAGCUGCCAUGGGUGGAUCUUUGGAGAGCAUGGGGACUCAAGUGUUCCUGUGUGGAGUGGAGUGAACAUUGCUGGUGUCCCUCUGAAGGAUCUAAACUCAGAUAAAGGAAUUGAUCAAGAUCUAGAGCAAGGGGGAAAAUGUCCACAAAGAAGUGAUUGCCAGUGCUUAUGAAAUUAUGAAAAUGAAAGGUUAUACUUCUUGGGCCAUUGGCCCAUCUGUAACAGAUUGAACAGAAAGCAUUUUAGAGAAUCCUAGGAGAGCGCAUUCAGUUUCCACAUAAUUAAGGGCCUCUAUGGAAUGAAUGAUGUAUUCUUCAGUGUUCCUCGUAUC
Molecule: long non-coding RNA, 693 nt
Filed under: Homo sapiens (human)
Lineage: Eukaryota; Metazoa; Chordata; Mammalia; Primates; Hominidae
Description: non-protein coding lnc-CCDC90B-9:1
Source: RNAcentral